UAGGGAAUCUUCCGCAAUGGGCGAAAGCUUGACGGAGCAACGCCGCGUGAGUGAUGAAGGUCUUCGGAUCGUAAAACUCUGUUAUUAGGGAAGAACAAAUGUGUAAGUAACUAUGCACGUCUUGACGGUACCUAAUCAGAAAGCCACGGCUAACUACGUGCCAGCAGCCGCGGUAAUACGUAGGUGGCAAGCGUUAUCCGGAAUUAUUGGGCGUAAAGCGCGCGUAGGCGGUUUUUUAAGUCUGAUGUGAAAGCCCACGGCUCAACCGUGGAGGGUCAUUGGAAACUGGAAAACUUGAGUGCAGAAGAGGAAAGUGGAAUUCCAUGUGUAGCGGUGAAAUGCGCAGAGAUAUUGCGGAACACCAGUGGCGAAGGCGACUUUCUGGUCUGUAACUGACGCUGAUGUGCGAAAGCGUGGGGAUCAAACAGG
Molecule: ribosomal RNA, 429 nt
Filed under: Actinomycetes bacterium
Lineage: Bacteria; Bacillati; Actinomycetota; Actinomycetes
Description: Actinobacteria bacterium partial 16S ribosomal RNA
Rfam family: Bacterial small subunit ribosomal RNA
Source: RNAcentral